Long non-coding RNA from Panicum virgatum (switchgrass), 507 nucleotides. RefSeq lists it as uncharacterized. The transcript has 3 exons. The record is from RefSeq and is a predicted model, not a curated record. Lineage: Eukaryota; Viridiplantae; Streptophyta; Magnoliopsida; Poales; Poaceae.
CUCAAAUCCUAGCUCCGCCACUGCCGCGUGGGUGUGCGGCGUCUUCUCGCGCGUCCAGGAGCUGAGCAGGCUACGCAGGAGGCAGCAGGCUUCAAGCGCCAAGGUAGCAGCCGUGCAACAACCAGCAAAGAAAAAGAGAUUUACAGUACAAAACAUACCAACUCAAAAGUGGUCUAGCUAUAUCAUUCAGCAAGGAUCCAUGACGAAAGCGACUAAGCUGUUUAUUAGCAGUCUAAUCCUUUUUCUCUUCACUACCCUCUGCAUCCAAGGUGCCGCAGAGUACGACAAUGUCACUGGACACAACCCUGCCCAGACCCUGAUCCAAAUUAGGAGAGGUUGUGUACCGAAUUAUCUAUGUUGCCCUGGGAAGAGUGCAAAAGACUGCUAUCGAACUAAUGUCUGCAUAGAAUUCAGAUGCAACGGCCCUAACCAACCAAUAGGCGCUUGCCAGCAAGCAACGCUAGCUUGCAAUUGUAACAAUUGCUAAAACAACGGAUGGAUGAAUGC